RNAcentral lists this transfer RNA (77 nucleotides) under Candidatus Midichloria mitochondrii. RNAcentral's name for it is "tRNA-Met". It matches the Rfam family "tRNA". From Rfam's summary of the family: Transfer RNA (tRNA) molecules are approximately 80 nucleotides in length. Their secondary structure includes four short double-helical elements and three loops (D, anti-codon, and T loops). Further hydrogen bonds mediate the characteristic L-shaped molecular structure. tRNAs have two regions of fundamental functional importance: the anti-codon, which is responsible for specific mRNA codon recognition, and the 3' end, to which the tRNAs corresponding amino acid is attached (by aminoacyl-tRNA synthetases). tRNAs cope with the degeneracy of the genetic code in two manners: having more than one tRNA (with a specific anti-codon) for a particular amino acid; and 'wobble' base-pairing, i.e. permitting non-standard base-pairing at the 3rd anti-codon position. RNAcentral also lists the same sequence under 1 other name. Lineage: Bacteria; Pseudomonadati; Pseudomonadota; Alphaproteobacteria; Rickettsiales; Candidatus Midichloriaceae. The record is from RNAcentral.
GGCGGAGUAGCUCAGGUGGUUAGAGCAGCGGAAUCAUAAUCCGCGCGUCGGGGGUUCGAGUCCCCCCUCCGCUACCA